AGUGGCGAACGGGUGAGUAAAGUAUCGGAACGUGCCCAGUCGUGGGGGAUAACGUAGCGAAAGUUACGCUAAUACCGCAUACGAUCUAUGGAUGAAAGCGGGGGAUCGCAAGACCUCGCGCGAUUGGAGCGGCCGAUAUCAAAUUAGGUAGUUGGUGGGGUAAAGGCUCACCAAGCCGACGAUCUGUAGCUGGUCUGAGAGGACGACCAGCCACACUGGGACUGAGACACGGCCCACACUCCUACGGGAGGCAGCAGUGGGGUAUUUUGGACAAUGGGCGCAAGCCUGAUCCAGCCAUGCCGCGUGCAGGAUGAAGGCCUUCGGGUUGUAAACUGCUUUUGUACGGAACGAAAAGGUUUGGCCUAAUAAGCUGAGCUCAUGACGGUACCGUAAGAAUAAGCACCGGCUAACUACGUGCCAGCAGCCGCGGUAAUACGUAGGGUGCGAGCGUUAAUCGGAAUUACUGGGCGUAAAGCGUGCGCAGGCGGUUAUGUAAGACAGAUGUGAAAUCCCCGGGCUCAACCUGGGAACUGCAUUAGUGACUGCAUAGCUGGAGUACGGCAGAGGGGGAUGGAAUUCCGCGUGUAGCAGUGAAAUGCGUAGAUAUGCGGAGGAACACCGAUGGCGAAAGGCUAUCCCCUGGGCCUGUACUGACGCUCAUGCACGAAAGCGUGG
This 675-nucleotide ribosomal RNA is filed under the name uncultured Curvibacter sp. RNAcentral describes it as "bacterial SSU rRNA". It matches the Rfam family "Bacterial small subunit ribosomal RNA", at positions 94 to 764 of the family's 1533-position model. The record is from RNAcentral. Lineage: Bacteria; Pseudomonadati; Pseudomonadota; Betaproteobacteria; Burkholderiales; Comamonadaceae.